UACGUAGGGUGCAAGCGUUGUCCGGAAUUAUUGGGCGUAAAGAGCUCGUAGGCGGUCUGUCGCGUCUGCUGUGAAAACUCAGGGCUUAACCCUGAGCUUGCAGUGGGUACGGGCAGACUAGAGUGCGGUAGGGGAGACUGGAAUUCCUGGUGUAGCGGUGAAAUGCGCAGAUAUCAGGAGGAACACCGGUGGCGAAGGCGGGUCUCUGGGCCGUAACUGACGCUGAGGAGCGAAAGCUAGGGGAGCAAACGGG
RNAcentral lists this ribosomal RNA (253 nucleotides) under uncultured bacterium. Its description in RNAcentral is "partial 16S ribosomal RNA". It matches the Rfam family "Bacterial small subunit ribosomal RNA", at positions 524 to 776 of the family's 1533-position model. The record is from RNAcentral.